RNAcentral lists this long non-coding RNA (362 nucleotides) under Capsicum annuum. RNAcentral describes it as "long non-coding RNA (CANN_LNC011803)". Lineage: Eukaryota; Viridiplantae; Streptophyta; Magnoliopsida; Solanales; Solanaceae. The record is from RNAcentral.
GGGGGAUGCUUGAUUUGUGUUGACUUUAAAGGUCUGGAUCUUGAUACUUCGUACUUAUUCUUUGGUUGAACUCAUAACCCCGUCCAUUUCCAAUCUUGGUCGAUAAAUUAUAUAAAAAAAUGUUUGAUUAAACAACAACAACAGCAACAAACCAAGUGUAUUCCCACAUAGUGAGUCUGGGGAGGGUAAGAUGUACGCAGUCCAUACCUCUAAAUCUAAAGAAUUAUAAAGGCUAUUUCCGAUAGACCCCCGGCAAAAAUUUGAUUAAAAAAUAUUAAAAAUAAAAUAUAAACAAAAGUGGGAAAUAAACUAUAUAAAUAAAAUAUUCAAAUAUGCAUAGUAUUAAAAUGAAAUUCUGCCAA